RNAcentral lists this ribosomal RNA (257 nucleotides) under uncultured bacterium. RNAcentral's name for it is "partial 16S ribosomal RNA". It matches the Rfam family "Bacterial small subunit ribosomal RNA", at positions 99 to 350 of the family's 1533-position model. The record is from RNAcentral.
CGGACGGGUGAGUAACGCAUGGGGAACCUGCCCUGUACCGGGGGAUAGCAGCCGGAAACGGCUGAUAAUACCGCAUAAGCGCACGAAUGUCGCAUGACAUGGUGUGAAAAACUCCGGUGGUAUAGGAUGGACCCGCGUCUGAUUAGCCGGUUGGUGGGGUAAAAGCCUACCAAAGCGAAGAUCAGUAGCCGAGUUGAGAGACUGACCGGCCACAUUGGGACUGAGACACGGCCCAGACUCCUACGGGAGGCACAGCU